UAUCUCUGUAGAGUCUGCAUAUCAAUAAGCGGAGGAAAAGAAACUAACUAGGAUUCCCUCAGUAACGGCGAGUGAAGCGGGAAGAGCUCAAAUUUGAAAUCUUCAAGGUUCUACCUUGACGAAUUGUAGUUUAAAGAAGUGUUUUCUGUUGGAGUUUUGGUAAAAGUUCUUUGGAAUAGGACAUCAUAGAGGGUGAGAAUCCCGUAUUUGACCAUUAUUUCCAGCUUUGUGAUACACUUUCAAAGAGUCGGAUUGUUUGGGAAUGCAGUCCAAAAUGGGUGGUAAAUUUCAUCUAAAGCUAAAUAUUGGCGAGAGACCGAUAGCGAACAAGUACCGUGAGGGAAAGAUGAAAAGAACUUUGAAAAGAGAGUUAAACAGUACGUGAAAUUGUCAAAAGGGAAGCGUUUGACACCAGUGUUGUUUUCUCGAAAAUCAAUUAAAAAAAGUUGGAUUUUGUAUUGUUAAGACCUUAUCAGCUUACUGUACUCUUUUCUUGCUUUUUUUAAUGCACUUUUCGUUUAACAAGUCAACAUCAAUUUCUUUUGUUGUAAAAGAGUCAUUGGAAGGUGGCUUUCACUUCGGUGAAAGUGUUUAUAGCCUUUGGCUUCUGCAAUCGGAGAGAUUGAGGUCUGCAGCGUAGAUCCUUCGGGGCUAGAUACGUAGAUGCUAAGUUAUAGUUUUUUAUAGACAACUUGUUGACUAUAAUUAAUCAUGUAGCUUACUCGUUUGCGCUAUUUUACCUACGCUUAGGAUGUUGAAGUCAUCGUAUCGCGC
This 774-nucleotide ribosomal RNA is filed under the name uncultured Neocallimastigales. Its description in RNAcentral is "partial large subunit ribosomal RNA". It matches the Rfam family "Eukaryotic large subunit ribosomal RNA", at positions 24 to 645 of the family's 3401-position model. Lineage: Eukaryota; Fungi; Neocallimastigomycota; Neocallimastigomycetes; Neocallimastigales. The record is from RNAcentral.